AAUUACAGUAAAUUAAAAUUUGGAAUAUAUUUUUUUUUUUGUAAAAUAUAAAAUUUAAUCAAUAUAGAAUGCAAUUGGAAUGGUUUGCCUGCAGAUGAUAUAGUAACUUCCUAAGGGAUAAUAGGAAACCAAUAUGCUUAAUGGUAAAUGGUAGUAUGCACAUGUUGAAGAGUUGUUGUUUGCAUUUGCACAUGUGUUGUAUGCUGAUGAUACUAUUCUCUCCAAGAAUGAAAAAGGUUUGAGGAUGCUUAUUGCACAAUAAAAUGAAGCAUGGCAGAGGAAACAUAAAAAUAAAUGCAAAGAUGAUGAAAAUGCUUGUAUAUGGUUAUAUGCCUAACAACUUCCAUCCUAGUAUUCAGCUUCUUAGCCAUUGUUUGAUUAUUCUGAAUUUAGAUGUAUAUAAUAAGCUAUUUUUACAAAUUUUGAGAUUUCUUCCAGGUGAUUUACAUCUGAUUUGUUCAGAAUUACUAUCUUGGAAUGUAUUGGCAAGUAAUUUCUUCACAUUAUCAUAUAUGGAUUUCAUAAAGCUAUAUCCAUGAUUCUUGCCCUAAAAUAUAAAGUUGAUCUUAGAAAAUUCAUCACACUGUCUUCUUUGCAUAAAAAUUCUGCAAAAUGAAAAGCCACCUACUUAUACUUUAAUGGAUCAUUGAACUAGGCAGGAAUAAUUAUGGAUAUAUAAUAAUUUCUUGUGAACACACUUGUUUCAUAAUGGUCCUGGGUGACCCUGAUUUGGAAAUUCAAGAAAAUGAGCAGAACUGUUUGUAUUGUUCUGCCAGUUUUAAGGCCAGUAUUCUAGGAUGCAAAGACUUCACUUAAUUCAAAUGAUCUUUUGUAAUCAUAUCAAGUAAUGUAUAAAUUGUUUGCAUAACACAAAUUUUAAUUGAAUUGUUAAAAUUAUUGAAAAUGAGGAUUCUAUGUGCCUUAGCAAAUUGAUGUUGGCUUUAAGCUAUGUUUAGACGGCGCAACUUUUCAUACAACAAGAUGCAUGCAACUAGGCAUGCAAGGCCGCAUGCCUCAAAAUGUGUUGCAAGACUAGGUGCAAGAAGGCGCAUGUGUUCCCC
RNAcentral lists this long non-coding RNA (1061 nucleotides) under Androctonus crassicauda. Lineage: Eukaryota; Metazoa; Arthropoda; Arachnida; Scorpiones; Buthidae. The record is from RNAcentral.